UCACAGUUGCUCUGUAUUGUAGAGUAGAGUAGCCAUAUUCCUGUGUAUCAAAUAUUUGGCACGUGUCACAGUUGCUCUGUAUUGUAGAGUAGAGUAGCCAUAUUCCUGUGUAUCAAAUACUGAAGCCAGCAUAUUUGUCUAAUUCAAAAUGUUAGAAUAUUUUGUUGAGAUUAAAAUAUGAACAUUACAAGAGAGUAUGAUCUCUCUUGACUAUCAAGAUUUUGUUUAACUGGAUACCACCCGUUUCUCUAACUAGCGGUCUAGGGUUGU
Molecule: long non-coding RNA, 270 nt
Filed under: Setaria italica (foxtail millet)
Lineage: Eukaryota; Viridiplantae; Streptophyta; Magnoliopsida; Poales; Poaceae
Description: long non-coding RNA (SITA_LNC003371)
Source: RNAcentral